GAGGUUAAGCGACUAAGCGUACACGGUGGAUGCCCUGGCAGUCAGAGGCGAUGAAGGGCGUGCUAAUCUGCGAUAAGCGCCGGUAAGGUGAUAUGAACCGUUAUAACCGGCGAUACCCGAAUGGGGAAACCCAGUGUGACUCGUCACACUAUCAUUAACUGAAUCCAUAGGUUAAUGAGGCGAACCGGGGGAACUGAAACAUCUAAGUACCCCGAGGAAAAGAAAUCAACCGAGAUUCCCCCAGUAGCGGCGAGCGAACGGGGAGGAGCCCAGAGCCUGAAUCAGCAUGUGUGUUAGUGGAAGCGUCUGGAAAGGCGCGCGAUACAGGGUGACAGCCCCGUACACAAAAGCGCAUGUGCUGUGAGCUCGAUGAGUAGGGCGGGACACGUGGUAUCCUGUCUGAAUAUGGGGGGACCAUCCUCCAAGGCUAAAUACUCCUGACUGACCGAUAGUGAACCAGUACCGUGAGGGAAAGGCGAAAAGAACCCCGGCGAGGGGAGUGAAAAAGAACCUGAAACCGUGUACGUACAAGCAGUGGGAGCACCCUUUGGGUGUGACUGCGUACCUUUUGUAUAAUGGGUCAGCGACUUAUAUUCUGUAGCAAGGUUAACCGAAUAGGGGAGCCGGAGGGAAACCGAGUCUUAAUUGGGCGUUAAGUUGCAGGGUAUAGACCCGAAACCCGGUGAUCUAGCCAUGGGCAGGUUGAAGGUUGGGUAACACUAACUGGAGGACCGAACCGACUAAUGUUGAAAAAUUAGCGGAUGACCUGUGGCUGGGGGUGAAAGGCCAAUCAAACCGGGAGAUAGCUGGUUCUCCCCGAAAGCUAUUUAGGUAGCGCCUCGUGAAUUCAUCUCCGGGGGUAGAGCACUGUUUCGGCUAGGGGGCCAUCCCGGCUUACCAACCCGAUGCAAACUGCGAAUACCGGAGAAUGUUAUCACGGGAGACACACGGCGGGUGCUAACGUCCGUCGUGAAGAGGGAAACAACCCAGACCGCCAGCUAAGGUCCCAAAGUCAUGGUUAAGUGGGAAACGAUGUGGGAAGGCCCAGACAGCCAGGAUGUUGGCUUAGAAGCAGCCAUCAUUUAAAGAAAGCGUAAUAGCUCACUGGUCGAGUCGGCCUGCGCGGAAGAUGUAACGGGGCUAAACCAUGCACCGAAGCUGCGGCAGCGACACUGUGUGUUGUUGGGUAGGGGAGCGUUCUGUAAGCCUGUGAAGGUGUGUCGUGAGGCAUGCUGGAGGUAUCAGAAGUGCGAAUGCUGACAUAAGUAACGAUAAAGCGGGUGAAAAGCCCGCUCGCCGGAAGACCAAGGGUUCCUGUCCAACGUUAAUCGGGGCAGGGUGAGUCGACCCCUAAGGCGAGGCCGAAAGGCGUAGUCGAUGGGAAACGGGUUAAUAUUCCCGUACUUGGUGUUACUGCGAAGGGGGGACGGAGAAGGCUAUGUUGGCCGGGCGACGGUUGUCCCGGUUUAAGCGUGUAGGUGUGUGUUCCAGGUAAAUCCGGUUCACUUUAACACUGAGGCGUGACGACGAGGCACUACGGUGCUGAAGCAACAAAUGCCCUGCUUCCAGGAAAAGCCUCUAAGCAUCAGGUAACAUCAAAUCGUACCCCAAACCGACACAGGUGGUCAGGUAGAGAAUACCAAGGCGCUUGAGAGAACUCGGGUGAAGGAACUAGGCAAAAUGGUGCCGUAACUUCGGGAGAAGGCACGCUGACACGUAGGUGAAGUGAUUUACUCAUGGAGCUGAAGUCAGUCGAAGAUACCAGCUGGCUGCAACUGUUUAUUAAAAACACAGCACUGUGCAAACACGAAAGUGGACGUAUACGGUGUGACGCCUGCCCGGUGCCGGAAGGUUAAUUGAUGGGGUCAGCGCAAGCGAAGCUCCUGAUCGAAGCCCCGGUAAACGGCGGCCGUAACUAUAACGGUCCUAAGGUAGCGAAAUUCCUUGUCGGGUAAGUUCCGACCUGCACGAAUGGCGUAAUGAUGGCCAGGCUGUCUCCACCCGAGACUCAGUGAAAUUGAACUCGCUGUGAAGAUGCAGUGUACCCGCGGCAAGACGGAAAGACCCCGUGAACCUUUACUAUAGCUUGACACUGAACAUUGAGCCUUGAUGUGUAGGAUAGGUGGGAGGCUUUGAAGUGUGGACGCCAGUCUGCAUGGAGCCGACCUUGAAAUACCACCCUUUAAUGUUUGAUGUUCUAACGUGGACCCGUUACCCGGGUUGCGGACAGUGUCUGGUGGGUAGUUUGACUGGGGCGGUCUCCUCCUAAAGAGUAACGGAGGAGCACGAAGGUUGGCUAAUCCUGGUCGGACAUCAGGAGGUUAGUGCAAUGGCAUAAGCCAGCUUGACUGCGAGCGUGACGGCGCGAGCAGGUGCGAAAGCAGGUCAUAGUGAUCCGGUGGUUCUGAAUGGAAGGGCCAUCGCUCAACGGAUAAAAGGUACUCCGGGGAUAACAGGCUGAUACCGCCCAAGAGUUCAUAUCGACGGCGGUGUUUGGCACCUCGAUGUCGGCUCAUCACAUCCUGGGGCUGAAGUAGGUCCCAAGGGUAUGGCUGUUCGCCAUUUAAAGUGGUACGCGAGCUGGGUUUAGAACGUCGUGAGACAGUUCGGUCCCUAUCUGCCGUGGGCGCUGGAGAACUGAGGGGGGCUGCUCCUAGUACGAGAGGACCGGAGUGGACGCAUCACUGGUGUUCGGGUUGUCAUGCCAAUGGCACUGCCCGGUAGCUAAAUGCGGAAGAGAUAAGUGCUGAAAGCAUCUAAGCACGAAACUUGCCCCGA
RNAcentral lists this ribosomal RNA (2778 nucleotides) under Salmonella enterica subsp. enterica serovar Enteritidis. RNAcentral's name for it is "partial 23S ribosomal RNA". It matches the Rfam family "Bacterial large subunit ribosomal RNA". The record is from RNAcentral. Lineage: Bacteria; Pseudomonadati; Pseudomonadota; Gammaproteobacteria; Enterobacterales; Enterobacteriaceae.